RNAcentral lists this ribosomal RNA (253 nucleotides) under uncultured bacterium. Its description in RNAcentral is "partial 16S ribosomal RNA". It matches the Rfam family "Bacterial small subunit ribosomal RNA", at positions 524 to 776 of the family's 1533-position model. The record is from RNAcentral.
UACGUAGGGUGCAAGCGUUGUCCGGAAUUAUUGGGCGUAAAGAGCUCGUAGGCGGUCUGUUACGUCGGCUGUGAAAACCUGGGGCUCAACUCCGGGCCUGCAGCCGAUACGGGCAGACUAGAGUUCGGCAGGGGAGACUGGAAUUCCUGGUGUAGCGGUGAAAUGCGCAGAUAUCAGGAGGAACACCGGUGGCGAAGGCGGGUCUCUGGGCCGAUACUGACGCUGAGGAGCGAAAGCGUGGGGAGCGAACAGG